CGCCGUGGCUGAACGUAGAUUUUCUGACGCAUCACUGGUUAAGUACCGAAUAUAAGCUGAGAACAACAACUCACGAUCACCGUGGCUGAACGUAGAUUUCCUGACGCAUCACUGGUUAAGUACCGAAUAGAAGCUGAGAACAACAACUCACGGUAUGUUUUUAAGAUCACCGUGGCUGAACGCAGAUUUCCUGACGCAUCACUGGUUAAGUACCGAAUAGAAGCUGAGAACAACAACUCACGGUAUGUU
This is a long non-coding RNA of Priapulus caudatus, 249 nucleotides long. RefSeq lists it as uncharacterized. The record is from RefSeq and is a predicted model, not a curated record. The transcript has 3 exons. Lineage: Eukaryota; Metazoa; Priapulida; Priapulimorpha; Priapulimorphida; Priapulidae.